GAUGAACGCUGGCGGCGUGCCUAAUACAUGCAAGUCGAGCGAAGCGGGGACGGGUGAGUAACACGUGGAUAACCUCCUAUAAGACUGGGAUAACUUCGGAAAACCGGAGCUAACCCGAAUAAUUAUCGCUGGAUCCGCGCUGCAUUAGCUAGUUGGUAAGGUAACGGCUUACCAAGGCAACGAUGCAUAGCCGACCUGAGAGGGUGAUCGGCCACACUGGAACUGAGACACGGUCCAGACUCCUACGGGAGGCAGCAGUAGGGAAUAUUCCGCAAUGGGCGAAAGCCUGACGGAGCAACGCCGCGUGUAUGAUGAAGGGCUUCGGAUCGUAAAGCUCUGUUAUUAGGGAAGCGUUACCUAAUCAGGAAGCCACGGCUAACUACGUGCCAGCAGCCGCGGUAAUUC
This 405-nucleotide ribosomal RNA is filed under the name uncultured bacterium. Its description in RNAcentral is "partial 16S ribosomal RNA". It matches the Rfam family "Bacterial small subunit ribosomal RNA", at positions 28 to 526 of the family's 1533-position model. The record is from RNAcentral.